Molecule: ribosomal RNA, 232 nt
Filed under: uncultured bacterium
Lineage: Bacteria
Description: partial 16S ribosomal RNA
Rfam family: Bacterial small subunit ribosomal RNA
Source: RNAcentral
UAACCUGCCUCAUACAGGGGGAUAACAGUUAGAAAUGACUGCUAAUACCGCAUAAGCGCACAGAGAUGCAUGUCUCGAUGUGAAAAGCUGAGGCGGUAUGAGAUGGAUCCGCGUCUGAUUAGCUGGUUGGCGGGGUAGAGGCCCACCAAGGCGACGAUCAGUAGCCGACCUGAGAGGGUGGCCGGCCACAUUGGGACUGAGACACGGCCCAAACUCCUACGGGAGGCAGCAG